AAAGCUUUUACGAACAGCAAAAAAUCUCAUGAGUCUGUCGAAUGAUCUCGAGAGUGAUGACCUCGAAACAGAUGAUCUCUUUCCUAUGAAUCCUUCACCAAUCCGAUCAUCACCCAAAAAAUCUAAUAAUCCGGAAAAACACUCGGAAAAUCCACUAGAUUUGACACCAUCCCCACCAACUAUUAAUCAACGUACAGAUAAAAGGAAACGAACUUCAUCUUUUGAUGGAUGGCGAUUCCCUGGAGGGAAUGAUGAUUGGAUGGAUGGCAUUAUUAGUCCACCCAAGAACCCAAAGUCUUCACGGUCUGAGCCACCUAUUUUCAAAAAGAAAAAAACAUUGACAUCUCCAGGAAGCCAUCCUGCGUAGGCGUACAUUUGAAUAACCAUCCAAUGGUCGAUGCCGCCUUUCAGAAGUACUUUGAUGAAAAAUUGGAGAAGAAAUUGGAAAGCCUGAGGCAGAGGUUGGCCUACGACUUUCGAAAAUCAAUCAAUGAAUUGAAAAGUACCAUCGUUGGUACAAAUCUACCUCCAGCAGCUGGACCAAGCUUGAUUGAAGUACAAAGACGUUUAUCUGUGCCAUUACCACUCGAGACUCUAGAGUAAUUUAUAAACUAUGAGGCGGUGUUGGAAAUAGACGAGAAUGAAAUGCAAUCUCUGCAUCUUUUUUUCAAGGUUUUGAUAAGUAACCAGAAAAA
Diachasma alloeum is the source of this 695-nucleotide long non-coding RNA. RefSeq lists it as uncharacterized. The record is from RefSeq and is a predicted model, not a curated record. NCBI's taxonomy places the organism in Eukaryota, Metazoa, Arthropoda, Insecta, Hymenoptera, Braconidae. The transcript has 3 exons.